CUUUCAUAGUUCAUGAACAAGAAGAAAAUUUCACUUGUUUAUGCAUAAAGUUAACCUAUCUUUCAUUACACAAUAUCCCUUACAAAUGAAAUUACUUCAAUCCAUUACCUGCUCAUAAUCAUGAACUUCCCAUUGUACGUAAAAGCAUUUGUGUGAACACCUGCGCAUUCGAUUGGAAGAUAAUGACUGAUUAAAGGGACAGUCUGAGCUCCAAAUCUGGUUCUUGAUUGUCACUUGAUUCAGAAUUUUGGCUGGUUGAGCCAAUCGAGUCACUCCUAUGUUUCUUGCUCUUCUUUGGCUGUGUGUCCUCAACUUGUAGAUUUAAAAGGUGUCUAGUUGAGCCUGCCUGUGAAAAAGUUUGAGCCUCCAAGAAACUAUUCCCGG
Molecule: unclassified non-coding RNA, 384 nt
Filed under: Hevea brasiliensis (rubber tree)
Lineage: Eukaryota; Viridiplantae; Streptophyta; Magnoliopsida; Malpighiales; Euphorbiaceae
Source: RNAcentral